CACACACAUUCCUCCCUAAAACGAGUCAUGACAAAUCUCCAAGACAAAAUCAGAGCCUAUUCGGAGAACAAAUAGACUCUAGCAACCAGCUCAGCUCAGGAUCAACAAAAGAUUAGCACGAUGGAAACAUCUCCCGGAAAAAUGUGGAGUAUUCAACUGCAAAAGGAUCAACAGUACACUGUGACAUUCCCUAGACAGAUACAUUUGUCAAGUGCAAUGCUCUGCUUGGACAGUUUGGGUCCCCGUUGUUUUUUUGACUGUCUCGUUGAAGUACAUGUUGUCGAGAAUGGAAUGGAUCAUUUAAUUGGAGUACUCGCUGGACUUGGUAAUUAUAAAGUAAAUCCUACUUUGCAGUGCAAUAUCAAUAUCAAGUUGGACCCUUCUCAACCUGUCAACUUCUAUGUGAGGACUGCUACUAUACCAUACGAUAGCGCAGCGAGACUUGUCAUAUUUGGAACCAAACUCUCAACGACUUCACUCGCUGUACAAAUUGUAGGUUAUUUUGACUAACCAGUUGCACUCAAACAUUUUUAGUUGUGAAUUUCAAGAGACUGAAAUGUACUGUACCUCUGCAAUAAUUUCAUUGCAGUAUUAUGAUUUAUAAUCAGUUAUACCAAGUGGCUAGAAUGAACUGAAGAGCUAGUGCAUGAUGCAUAUGGGCUAGCUUCCUUUAAUAUAAUAAAUUAUACACAACUAUACAUUAUUGUACAUAUAUAUCAGUACUUACCAGUGCAUGUAGUACCAGCUAGGCCCUGCCAUAUUAUGCUGGCAUAAUAGGUUAGAUCAUGAUCAUUAUGCUGGUCAGUUUUGUGCAAAAACUCCUCUGCUGCUAUCUGAACGUGUUUUCUUUCUUAAAUGCCUCCUUUACAUCUAUUGUAUAGUGUUGAAUCCAUGAUUGCCUAUAGUGGCUAGCGUUUACAGUACAGUAAUAGAUAUCUAGCUAUAAUGAGCUCUACCAGGCUCUGAGGGUCAAAUUAUGUUAGUGCCCUAUUAUUCAACUCCUUAUUAUUCCUAUUAUUUUAGUACGCUGUAGCAUAAUUUGCCAAGCCUAUAUCCAUGACCGUGCGUCCUCGAGGUAAAGACGCGGGUUGCAGAAAAUUAUUAAGAGUAGAACAUGCACACACCAUGUGGCAGCUGAGCACUUAUUUCAGAAACACGGGCCUAAUAUAUAUUAUAGGCGGACAGUUGAUCAGGAACACAUUGCAUCUUAACAGGGCCUAAUAAUAACAUCAUUGAAGGAAAACACAAACUAUGCACCACACGACGAAUACACGAGCAAUAAAAAGGUUGAAAAUGCAAAUAACUCCACUCACUAAAGCUGCAUGUCCUAUCAUACUAGAGGUGUCUCUUUGUUUGUAUUUCUUUUAACAUAAUCUUCCAUUCCUACGUUUCCCAGUAUAUUCUCAAAUGGGUUAAAUUCUCCAAUACUUGGCAAUCUUUGCAACAGAGGAUCAUUUUUGUUCACUCCCGACUGUGUUGCUUGUACUCUCGAGUAUAGGGCUGUGGUUUGGGCGGUGGUGGUAGCCGUUUCUUUUGAUAGUUCAGUGGUACUUGUGGUAUGGAUAAUGGAAUAUCUUGAGCAAACUUCGGAGAUCUUGGUCCAGCAGGUCUCUUCAAGUCUUUGCUAGUGUAGGUCAUGUGUUGGUAUCCAUAGUUGUAGAAUGGGUUAGAGUACUGUGUGUGUGUGUCCUGUAUACCAGAAGCCUGCAUUUGGAAAUUGGGAGAACUGGAGGAUCCACGAUUAUAGCCGUAGGGGCUAGCAAUGGCUGAACUCAUUUCAGGAGCACUGCCCUUUCGCACAUGUAGGUUUGUCUCUGCUUGACUGCGUAUCAGUUACUUGUGUAGUUGCUGUAGUGGUAUAGUGGAAAUAAGAGGUUGCGGUAACUCAGGGGACUGGGUUUCAAUCAGAGCCGAUGCAUUCGAUUGUUCUCAUCUUCUUCACCAGUUUCUGUUUGCCCUCUUUGUGUCUGUGGUAUAUGGGAUCACUGAGGGAGGCUUGCAGUGGACCUGUACAGGAAGGGGGGGGUUAAAGAUAUGGUAGUAGUAGUUACAUCAGAAAAUAUUGUUUUGAAAGGAAGGCCACAACGUUGUGGAUUUUCAUGUUGGUCCUAUUAGUGCAAAGUGUUUUGCUCCAAUAGGGAACACUUCCUGUUAGCUUUUACCACACUCAUGAUUAUGUACUAAUUUAAAGCUUCAAUCAACUGCUAUAAUUAUGGGUCAUGAUGAAACAAGUCAAACGUCUAUUACUGUAUGAAGGCUUGAAAAAGGACAGUAAUCUAGUACCUUAGCCUCGAUUCCAGGCCGCUGAGAAAGGCGGCCUGGUAUACCGUAUAGCGGGUAUAUUUCGAGGGUAUAAAUUUUCGCGGAUGGACCAUUACAAAGGAUUUCGCGGAUUUUAUUUUCGUGGUCUGAGUUCCAGCCUUUUGGCGCAUGCGCACAUCAACAUGCAGCUGUACCUCCACACCCGUUAGCCUCGAAUCCAGGCCUAGCCUAUAACGGUGAGGCACCUCUUAUUGUCGAUAGGUGUGGUCAAUAAUACUGAACACGCCUACUAUUCAAUAAAGAUGUAAAUUUUCGUGGGUAUAAAUUUUCGCGGUAGAGGCUCAAUCCGCGAAAACCGCGAACAUUUAUACCCUCGAAAUAUACCCGCUAUACGGUACACUGUUUACGCAUGCGCCAGAAUUACCAAGAAUCUUGGUAAUCGUAAAUUGUAGUAUAUUUAUCAGUAUUCUUAUUCCGCAUUUAGUUGUAAAACAUUGAUAUCCGUUUCAUUUAUAAUGAUGUCAUUGAAAAAAGAAAUCUAGUCCAAGUUGUGUAAUGGCUGCUACCUUCUCUUCUGCUCUCGCGUACAAGUUAUCCUGUGUUGGAAAACCAGGUCUAGUCUUGAAAGACAAGCAGCUGGAGGUGUUGAAGUGUCUGUACGCUGGUGUUUAUGUGGGUACCGUACCGACCGGCUAUGGCAAGUCCCAGAGCAAGUCCAUCUGCUUUCCAGACACUCCCUUUCUUGAUUGAUGUGAAGCUUGACAGGACCAGUGCACCUCUCUCUGAAAGAAGUGUUGUGAUGAAAGAAGUGUUGUGAUGGUGAUUUCUCCUCUUGUUUCUCUGAGUGAAGCCAUCUUCAAAGUGUUAGUGUGUCUGUUCGAUGUUCAGUGCCAUUCUCUCUGGAAGGAAGUAUUGUUGUGACAUUUGCCGAAAAUUGGUCACAGAGUAAGUACGCGGUAUCUGAUCCGAGAACUGUGUGGCCUGAAUGUGUCUACAAUCCGAGGGACUUGUGUGUAUCCGAUCCGAGGGACUUGUUGCUUGAGUGUGUAUCCGGACUUGUUGCUUGAGUGUGUAUUAAUGGAUAGUGCUUCAAUGGUUUAACUAAUUUCUUAUGAGAUUAACUUGUCGCCUGAGUGUGUAUCCGAUCCGAGCCUCAAGUUAAUGAAUAAAUCUACAGAGCUGAUGUUUUACUUAGCUGUCUCUGUCUACAGUAUAUACAGAGAGGUAGCCUCUCCUUUUUCUUUUUUCUGUUCUUUAUCACAAUAAGAUAAAAUACUGUUUUAACGUUCAA
Halichondria panicea is the source of this 3553-nucleotide long non-coding RNA. RefSeq lists it as uncharacterized. The transcript has 3 exons. Lineage: Eukaryota; Metazoa; Porifera; Demospongiae; Suberitida; Halichondriidae. The record is from RefSeq and is a predicted model, not a curated record.